AUGCACGCUGGCGGCGUGCCUAAUACAUGCAAGUCGAGCGAACAGACGAGGAGCUUGCUCCUCUGACGUUAGCGGCGGACGGGUGAGUAACACGUGGAUAACCUACCUAUAAGACUGGGAUAACUUCGGGAAACCGGAGCUAAUACCGGAUAAUAUAUUGAACCGCAUGGUUCAAUAGUGAAAGACGGUUUUGCUGUCACUUAUAGAUGGAUCCGCGCCGCAUUAGCUAGUUGGUAAGGUAACGGCUUACCAAGGCAACGAUGCGUAGCCGACCUGAGAGGGUGAUCGGCCACACUGGAACUGAGACACGGUCCAGACUCCUACGGGAGGCAGCAGUAGGGAAUCUUCCGCAAUGGGCGAAAGCUUGACGGAGCAACGCCGCGGGAGUGAUGAAGGUCUUCGGAUCGUAAAACGCUGUUAUUAGGGAAGAACAAAUGUGUAAGUAACGAUGCACGUCUUGACGGUACCUAAUCAGAAAGCCACGGCGAACUACGU
Molecule: ribosomal RNA, 495 nt
Filed under: uncultured bacterium
Lineage: Bacteria
Description: partial 16S ribosomal RNA
Rfam family: Bacterial small subunit ribosomal RNA
Source: RNAcentral